Molecule: small RNA, 430 nt
Filed under: Pongo abelii (Sumatran orangutan)
Lineage: Eukaryota; Metazoa; Chordata; Mammalia; Primates; Hominidae
Description: retained intron
Source: RNAcentral
CUUUAAUGAUCUUGGAAUGAAGCUCAUAAAAGUUAGCUAUAAAGUUGAAAAUAUGUUUAUUAUAUGUAAAAUGCCAUUAUAAUUAAUGGGUCCUUUUAUUAAUAACCUUUUACAGGUUGUCACUUAUAUUCUGUAAGAAUUUUGUUUUAAUUGUUCUCACAUAGACGUUGACUUUUAAUAUAGGUAGAAGACUUUUUGAAUCUCUCCACACAGCUGUCUGGAUUUCAUAUUUGUAUUGACAAAGGGACUUUUGAUGCCAUAAGCCUUAAUCCUGACAAUGCAAUUGAGAAGAGGAAGCAAUAUGUGAAAUCUCUCUCCAGGGUGUUGAAAGUAAAAGGCUUUUUUCUAAUAACGUCAUGUAAUUGGACCAAGGAAGAGUUGCUAAAUGAAUUCAGUGAAGGAUUUGAACUUUUCGAAGAGCUGCCAACAC